RNAcentral lists this ribosomal RNA (484 nucleotides) under uncultured bacterium. Its description in RNAcentral is "partial 16S ribosomal RNA". It matches the Rfam family "Bacterial small subunit ribosomal RNA", at positions 30 to 507 of the family's 1533-position model. The record is from RNAcentral.
AUUGAACGCUGGCGGCAGGCCUAACACAUGCAAGUCGAGCGGAUGAAGGGAGCUUGCUCCUGGAUUCAGCGGCGGACGGGUGAGUAAUGCCUAGGAAUCUGCCUGGUAGUGGGGGAUAACGUCCGGAAACGGGCGCUAAUACCGCAUACGUCCUGAGGGAGAAAGUGGGGGAUGUUCGGACCUCACGCUAUCAGAUGAGCCUAGGUCGGAUUAGCUAGUUGGUGGGGUAAAGGCCUACCAAGGCGACGAUCCGUAACUGGUCUGAGAGGAUGAUCAGUCACACUGGAACGGAGACACGGUCCAGACUCCUACGGGAGGCAGCAGUGGGGAAUAUUGGACAAUGGGCGAAAGCCUGAUCCAGCCAUGCCGCGUGUGUGAAGAAGGUCUUCGGAUUGUAAAGCACUUUAAGUUGGGAGGAAGGGCAGUAAGUUAAUACCUUGCUGUUUUGACGUUACCAACAGAAUAAGCACCGGCUAACUUCGUG